AGCGGCAGCCCGAUCACCCCCAAACCUCGUCAGCAUCCCCACCUGGCCCCAACCUGCCAGCCUUCACCAGGCUCUUAACAAGAGGCCAGUUCUCAGCCAGCCUCUCUCCUGUCCUUGAGCGGCAAGUGGGCAGCUGAGCAGAAUUGUAGAAGCAGUUUGUGAACUACCUUUGGAGCCCGUAAAGUGGAGAUGAGCCCCAUGCAUGUCACUGAACUCAGAACAUGGGGAGCCUGGGUUACAGAUCCACAGAAUAACCAAGACCAGCGUGGCAGGGGCCUCCAGGGGCCGAAACCUCCAGGAGAGAAGUCAGUAAAUGCUAUAGAAAGCACAGCCUGUGUCGGGAAUGGAGAUGAAAUAUUUCUUUGUUAGACAUGCCAUCAAAAAGUCCCGAAGUUGAGGAAGAACGCAGGUUUAUUUUCAAAUAAAUGCUCACUUGGA
Molecule: long non-coding RNA, 438 nt
Filed under: Homo sapiens (human)
Lineage: Eukaryota; Metazoa; Chordata; Mammalia; Primates; Hominidae
Description: novel transcript
Source: RNAcentral